UCAAUUCCAGGAUCCCACAAAUCUGGCAUUCCCUUCUUCCAGGAUCCCAUAAUUUUCAGAUUUCAUUAUUCCAUGACUUCAGGAUCCCAUAAAUCUGGUAUUUUCUAGGAUUCCUUAAUUCUUGGAUUUUGUUUUUCCAGGACUCCACAAUUCCAGGAUCCCAUAAACCUGACAUUUUCUUUCUCUAGGAUCCCAUCAUUCUUGGAUUUUGUUAUUCCAAAUCUCCACAAUUCCAGCAUCCCAUAAAUCUGACAUUCUCUUUUUCUAGAGUCCCAUAAUUGCAGGAUUUCAUUUUUCCAGGACCCCACAAUUCCAGGAUCCCAUAAAUCUGACAUUCCCUUUUGUUCCCAGUUUGUUCCCAGUUUGUUCCCAGUCCUUCCCAGUUUGCUCCCAGUCAUUCCCAGUCAUUCCCAGUUUGCUCCCAGUCAUUCCCAGUUUGCUCCCAGUUUAUUCCCAGUUUGCUCCCAGUUUGCUCCCAGUUUGUUCCUAGGCAUUCCCAGUUUGCUCCUAGUUUAUUCCCAGUUUGUUCCCAGUCCUUCCCAGUUUGUUCUCAGUCAUUCCCAGUUUGCUCCCAGUCAUUCCCAGUUGUUCCCAGUUUGCUCCCAGUUUGCUCCCAGUCAUUCCCAGUUUAUUCCCAGUUUGCUCCCAGUUUGUUCCCAGUCCUUCCCAGUUUGUUCCUAGUCAUUCCCAGUUUGUUCCCAGUCAUUCCCAGUUUGCUCCCAGUCAUUCCCAGUUUGUUCCCAGUCAUUCCCAGUUUGUUCCCAGUUUGUUCCCAGUCAUUGCCAGUCAUUCCCAGUCAUUCCCAGUCGUUCCCAGUUUGCUCCCAGUUUGCUGCCAGUCAUUCCCAGUUUGCUCCCAGUCAUUCCCAGUGGUUCCCAGUUUGCUCCCAGUUUAACCCUGUCGGUCCCGGGCAGAUAUCGUGAACACGGCGCGCCC
This 936-nucleotide long non-coding RNA is filed under the name Zonotrichia albicollis (white-throated sparrow). RNAcentral's name for it is "lncRNA (ENSZALG00000000047.1)". The record is from RNAcentral. Lineage: Eukaryota; Metazoa; Chordata; Aves; Passeriformes; Passerellidae.